Molecule: ribosomal RNA, 158 nt
Filed under: Epichloe coenophiala
Lineage: Eukaryota; Fungi; Ascomycota; Sordariomycetes; Hypocreales; Clavicipitaceae
Also listed under: 22 other names
Description: 5.8S ribosomal RNA
Rfam family: 5.8S ribosomal RNA
About the family: 5.8S ribosomal RNA (5.8S rRNA) is a component of the large subunit of the eukaryotic ribosome. It is transcribed by RNA polymerase I as part of the 45S precursor that also contains 18S and 28S rRNA.
Source: RNAcentral
AAAACUUUCAACAACGGAUCUCUUGGUUCUGGCAUCGAUGAAGAACGCAGCGAAAUGCGAUAAGUAAUGUGAAUUGCAGAAUUCAGUGAAUCAUCGAAUCUUUGAACGCACAUUGCGCCCGCCAGUAUUCUGGCGGGCAUGCCUGUUCGAGCGUCAUU